CGUGUUGGAGGUCGACUAAAGAACGCGAACAUGAGUGCUGAAAUGAAACAUCCCAAAAUAAUUCCCAACAAAGGCCGUUUAGCCGAAUUAUUAAUAAACGAAGCACAUGGGUUAACAUUUCACGGAGGGCCUCGACUUACCUUAACAACACUCCGACAACAAUACUGGAUAACUAGUGGAUACAAUACAACCAAAAAACAGUUAAGGAAUUGUGUAACAUGUCGUAGAUAUGAUACAAAGAAGUUGUACCAGCUAAUGGGUGAUCUUCCUGCUGCUAGAGUCAACCAGGCUGCGCCAUUCUACCAUACUGGAGUAGAUUAUACUGGUUUUGUAGAUGUCAAGAUCAACAAAGGAAGAGGUGUGAAAACAACCAAAGGAUACAUCGUCGUAUACGUUUGCUUGGUUACGAAGGCGGUAUACUUGGACUUAGUCUCUGACUUAACGAGCUCAGCAUUCUUGGCUUCACUCAGAAGGAUGGCGGCCCGAAGGGGAGCACCGCGCCACUUAUACAGCGAUCAAGGUACGAACUUCGUUGGAGCCAACCGAAUGCUACAGGAAGAAUAUGAUACUUUAUGCCAUGUCCUUAGUGACAGUCUUUUGGCUGAAGUUGCAGAAAUGAACAUUGAAUGGCAUUUCAACGCACCCUCUUGGCCGAGUGCAGGAGGCCUGUGGGAACGAGCCGUGCAGAGCUUGAAGUGGCAUUUAAAAAGAGUCGUAGGAGAACAAAAGUUAACGUUUGAAGAGUAUUGCACUAUCUUAGCACAACUGGAGGCCUGUCUUAACUCUAGGCCAUUGUGUUCUUUAACAGAAAACAUAGAAGACCUGGAUUACCUGUAACCAGCACAUUUCUUAAAUGGAAGGGUGGGGGUAACCGUUAUAGAAACAAAAGAGGACGCUAGAACUAGAUGGCAUUUGACCAACAGCAUAUUCAAACAGAUUUGGCAUAAUUGGAAGACAAACUAUUUAACACAAUUAACAACGCGGCAGAAGUGGGUGAAGCCACAAACAAACAUGAAGAUUGGAGAUAUGGUGGUUAUUCAUGAAGACAAUCUUCCGGCUGGAAAAUGGCUCAUGGGUAGAGUCAUAGAAGUGUUUCCCGGCAACGACGGCUAUGUCAGGGUGGUAUCGCUCAAAACAAAAAAUUGCAUUAUACAACGACCUGUCGUCAAACUGUCUAAAUUGCCCAUUGAAUCAGCUGAGCAAGUGGACAAUUCUGACUAUAAGAAAACACAAAAUGAUUGUUCUUCUCAACCUACAAAACACAAGCAAAAACAAUCAAGACGUGGAAGACUAUCGUGUAUGGUGAUGGCAUUAAUAUUUUUCAUGUCAUUAUGCACCAGCGAUGCCUGUAACAUAACCGAGCUGAAAGGUGAUCGAUCAUUAUAUUUUGAUCCCGUAACAAAAUUAUAUUUAAUAAAGAACACUUGGAACUUGGUUGUAUAUUAUAACAUGUCUCCAUAUCGAGAAGGAAUGAAGGCAUUCGAAAAGGCGACAACACAUUUAGAUAAAUCAUGCAAAGUCCUGGAAGAUGGUCAGUGUAGCAUAAUAGUCGAUCAAUUGAUCCACGAAUACAAAGAAUUAACUUACUAUAAUGAGCUACUUAUGAAUCAACAUUUGAAUGAGCACUACAGACAGCGUCGUGGUUUUAUCAACGGUGUCGGAUAUCUUGCUAACUCUCUGUUCGGAGUAUUAGAUGAACAUUUCGCAGAAAAAUACUCGCAAGACAUAGAGCUCGUAAAACAUAAUGAACAGUACUUAGUGAGUUUAUGGAAAAACCAAACUUCGAUCGUCGAAUCUGAAUACAACUUACUAAAAAGAACAGAAGAAGUCAUGUCUAAGCAACAUAAGACUAUUAAUAAACACAUAACUAACCUAGAAAACAUGUCAAAUCGACUUCAACAGCAAGUAAACAACAUAUCGAUUCUACAAGAAUUUACCUUAAUGUCCAUUAUUACAACUAAUUUAUUGCACAAUUUGAAAGGGUCGCAAAAUAUAUUGUUAGACAUUUUAACUAACAUACAUCAUGGUCAAUUCAACAUUCAUUUACUUACUCCAGAACAACUUCAAAAGGAACUAAACAUUAUCACCGGAUAUUUACCGGAAGACACAAUUCUUCCCGUAGAACCGCAGAAUAUUAAGAAUUUGUAUCCUCUGUUAAACAUAAAGGCUCGUAUUACUCUACAAUAUUUCUUAUUCGAGAUAACAUUUCCACUCAUUUAUCAAGAUCGAUUCAAACUUUAUAAAGUACAUUCUAUUCCUCAUCAAAGCGGAAAUAUGACUAUUGAAGUAGUUCCGGCAUACGAAUACAUUGCUACCGACUUGAAAAGAGAUUCCUUUCUUGAACUCACCACCGAAGAAGUCUUAUCCUGUAAUCAACAAGAAGAAGCUUACUACUGCAAGCUUAGAACGCCGAUUCUUCAUUUACGACCGGAGACUAAGUUUUGUAAGAUUAAACUUAAUAGCAACGUAUGCAAAUUAAAGUAUUCUAAUUGUGAAACCAAAAUAAUAGCACUAACUCAUCUCUCUUUAUAUUUAUAUCACUGCUGUGGCACCUGCGAAGUAAAGGUCAUGUGCGGAGAACAUAUUGCCUUGAAACAGUUGAAUAACACUGGUCGUCUGUAUCUAGAGCCAGGUUGCCUCAUAAAGGGAUCAGAUUAUACACUUCAUAUCCCUAAAACAAACAACAAUAAGCUGGAGAUUCAGUCUAACAUUUACGUUCCAAUAAUAGAUCCCAUAAAUAAUAUCAUAAACAGCUCUCUUCUCAACACUGAGAACCUGAAUGUCAGCGAGUCUAAAGAUUUGCAGAACGCUCUCCAGAAACUACACGUGCGUAUUGAAGAUCUAGAAAACUCCCCGCCAGUAUUGGAGACUUCAUUAACAUCUCACGAUAUUCAUCAGUAUGUGAUAACAUACAUCAUCGUCAUCGUCAUCGUGCUGGCCACCGGCGUGCUACUCUGGCGACGACGACGGUUGAGUGCGAACCGGGCGAUCAUCUCUGACGGCAUCGAGCUUCAACAGUAUAGUGAAUGUGAAAAUGUAAAUAGUGCUAAGGCAGGGUUUAGUGCGCGACCUUCUGUGGUGGACCCUUCGCCUGGUGAUGUGAACAUUUAUGCCAAAGUGUCAAACAAAGCGUGCUCUCCAAUACCAAGAAAACCUAUAUGGACCCUAAGUUCUUAAAUUGUAUUAUACUAACAUUUUAAUUUAAUUUUUGUUUGUCUUUCAUCCUCUUGUAAGCCGUAAUCAUCUAUUUACUAACAAUUAUUUCAUUAAAGUAUACUCUAUUUUGUUGCCCCGGAAUAUGUUCGGUGAUAUAUUACCGAACACCUUUGUCAGCAUAAUUCGCGUGACGCGUUAACUUCAUUUCCACUAUUCGUCAGUGCACGAUCAACAACCGCGUCACCCGGGUGCAUUCAUAACAUUAACAUUUAAUUUAAUUUAUCUAUAUUUUAACAAUAAACAUUUUUAAGUAACAUUAUCUUUAACUAACAAACUCACAUCGCACCCUACACAGUACGUUACAAGAACGGUUGCAACACUCAUGUAACCACGGUACUUUUUGUCAUAAAAAUAUUUAAAGAUUGACGACACAGUAAUUAUAUCAAUCGAGCUAUCGCCAUGAUGCUUCAGUUGAUUUAAAUAUAUAUUAUUUAGCAUACGUAAUUGUGUCUACAAUUUAAGGAACGACAACUCGAAUCAGACAACGUCUUUGUUAGGGUCCACCGAUUUUUAAAAUGAUGUUCUUCAAAUCGAUAAUGUAUGUUUCGGGUUUUAAUAUAUAAUAGUAAAUUAGUGUUUCCCUAUUGGACAAGGUUAUUAUUUAUCAAAGAAAAUAAAAUCUACUAAAAAAAUAAUUGAAAAAGAAAUUUGUUUGAGAAACAUAGGAAAAAAUGGUACCAAACUGUCUUAUUGAUAAAGCUAAGCUCAUCAAUAGCCGUUUAAUAAAAAUAGGAAAAUCGGUUUAACUAAACUCUAGAUUUGAUUAAAAAGAAUUUGAAUGUCAAUGUCAGUAAUCGAUUGAGAUAAUGAUCUUACGGGUGGUUUUUUGAAAUUAAGAGUUUUUAAGACAAGAUUCACUAGAUUUCGCCUUAUCGUCUCACAUACAAUAUACAUAUGUAUGUGUAUACUGAUUAAGUAUUGCACACAACUCAAAUAAAUACGUAAUUCACACUUGCAGGGACAGUACACGUUAUUGUUUAUACGGCUAACGAAGACAUUAUUUAGGUAACUAACAUUGUUUAUAACUUAUACUGAAUAUCCCACGGGAGACGUCACAGAGAUUCCGUACAAGAUAUACGUUUGAAAUGUCUCAUACAAAUAAAAACAUGAAAUAUGUUUUAUUUAAUGUUGUAAUAUUAUGUACUCCUCUAUGUGUAUUAUGUAAUGAUUUAAUCACGUACCUAUAAACUUAUUGGUGUUGAUUAAUAGUUCCCAAUAUGUGUGUUAUAUCAUUUAACUAUGUAUUUAAAUCGUUUUAAUGUAAAUUAAAAAAUAAAGCGUUGAAAAAUA
RNA transcript from Bombyx mori (domestic silkworm), 4506 nucleotides. RefSeq lists it as uncharacterized. The record is from RefSeq and is a predicted model, not a curated record. The transcript is spliced from 2 exons. NCBI's taxonomy places the organism in Eukaryota, Metazoa, Arthropoda, Insecta, Lepidoptera, Bombycidae.